This 438-nucleotide ribosomal RNA is filed under the name uncultured bacterium. RNAcentral's name for it is "bacterial SSU rRNA". It matches the Rfam family "Bacterial small subunit ribosomal RNA", at positions 338 to 793 of the family's 1533-position model. The record is from RNAcentral.
CCUACGGGAGGCAGCAGUGGGGAAUCUUGCGCAAUGGGCGAAAGCCUGACGCAGCCAUGCCGCGUGAAUGAUGAAGGUCUUAGGAUUGUAAAAUUCUUUCACCGAGGACGAUAAUGACGGUACUCGGAGAAGAAGCCCCGGCUAACUUCGUGCCAGCAGCCGCGGUAAUACGAAGGGGGCUAGCGUUGCUCGGAAUUACUGGGCGUAAAGGGAGCGUAGGCGGAUAGUUUAGUCAGAGGUGAAAGCCCAGGGCUCAACCUUGGAAUUGCCUUUGAUACUGGGUGUCUUGAGUGCGGAAGAGGUAUGUGGAACUCCGAGUGUAGAGGUGAAAUUCGUAGAUAUUCGGAAGAACACCAGUGGCGAAGGCGACAUACUGGUCCGUUACUGACGCUGAGGCUCGAAAGCGUGGGGAGCAAACAGGAUUAGAUACCCUGGUAG